UCAAGCCUCACCUUGGGAAAAUUGAUUUUGGUUUGCAGUGCAUCCAGAGAGUGUUACUAAGUUUAAGUUUCUAAAUGACCAUUUACAAAUGAUUGACUGAUAUUAUAAAAAAACGUAUCAAUGAUUAGCAAACCAUUCUUUCAUCCAAUUCGCUCUGCCUCCUACCAAAACCAUGGCUUCAGCAACUGUUCUUAAUAUAGUGUACAUUAGGAGCAACGUCUUUGAAUGUUUACAGACCUUUCAACAAACUGUAUCUGGAAGAGAGACUUCUAUGUGGGAUCGUCGUGCUGCUUUACCAGACUGUGAAAGACAUUAAAGUAGCUAAACCCAAUGAAGGAGUUUGGUGAGGGUUUGUUUACCAUUCAGGCAACAUCUUAUUGCUGCUUGCUGAUCAGAUGAUUAGAUGGACAAGGUUCUCAUGAAAAAGGCUUUGUUUUUAUAUGAAUUAGUCUAGCAUUGACUGCUUUAUCUACAAGCCCCUCACUUUCACUACUGUAUCUCUCUACAACUGAUUUAUGGCUAUGGAUAAGGAUGACAUCUUCAUCCCUGAAAAUGUUUUCCUCCUGGAGGAGACUGUGCAGGAGGCAGAGGAAAUAUGCGAAAGAACGGUUAGUACAGCAUGCCAAACUGACCCCUGGGUGCCAGAGUGUUCCUGUGCUGCGGUGGAGAAGAGGUCCACUGAGACCAUCACUAAAGAGCACAGUGCCCAGCUAGAUUGUGCUCACAUCCAUCAGUAUACAUCCAAGGCCUGCCCCUAUACGCCACAGAUGGAGCUGACAGAGAGUGAGAUCAGUGAAGACCAUAAAAGAUGACUUUGGGGGAGCGGGCUGGUAUUCCCGAAAAUGGAGAAGGAGCAGGCCAUUCAAUAGCGAAUUGAAAGAUACACCCAUCCAUAAAGGGAAUCGGAGUGGAAUUGUUUUUCCACCAAUUGUAUUUUUAUACCCGUUUCAACCUUGUCCCCGUCCUGCUGUUUCGACUCUCUCUCUCUCAACCUAUGAAUGCUCAGCUAUGAAAAGCCAACUGACAUUUGCUCCUGAGGUGUUGAACUGUUGCACCCUCUGUAACCACUGUGGAUAUUAUUUUUUAUUUAAAAAAUGGCUUUUGUAAAAUACAUUUGAUUGAUUGUUUGCUGUGCUGGAUACUGUCUGAGUGAUGGGACAUUUCUAUAGUAUCUGUAACAUAUUUUGGGGUGUGUUUAAUCUCCAUUUUAACUUCUUAAAGUGGCAAUCAGCAGUAGAAACAAUAACAAAGUGCCUCCCUGCUCGUCUUUUGGUAAAAAUCUGAGGGAUUGAGAAAUGUAACCACUCUCAAUUUCAUAGACAGCGCUAUAGAUGCAAGGACUGACCAUGUACACAGUUCGCUUUGGAUAAAGGCGUCUGCUAAAUGGCAUAUGUUAUUAAAGUCUACUUUGAUGAACAGCCAAAAAGCACAUAAAAUCUGAUAUUUUUUUAUCCCGGCCACGUGACCUACGUCUGAACGGUCAAAUCUGAUUUAUUUGUCCCCAAGAAGUGUUUUUUAUACGGUUAUUUGUCAUAUCUUGUUGUUCACUGGCUACCGUGUUCACAGUAUGACAAGAACAUGUGGUAGCUUAAUAGCUUGUUGAUUGUUUACAAAGAAAUGAGUCAACGUGCUAGAACGCUAAAUGGCUAGUUGAAUGCUGUGGUUAGCCAAACAUGAUUUGUUUUGAAAGUUGGAUCAUCUUAUCCUUUGUGGCUUUAAAAGUGUUUUUACAUUAUAAUUUUCUACAUUAAAAAGCAACUGGGAAACAUCCAUGGCAGGCAUUGCUGUCACCUUAGCUCGCUACAACUUCUGAGCAAUUGGAAGCAGGAGCAACACAACCAAUCAGCCUACACCACUGCGCACACACGUUGUUACUAUGGCAACGAGUUUAGCCAUGUCAGCAAAUGACUGUCUGAACAGACACACCUGAUUUAGUCACUGGUAACUUUCUGUUUGUACAGUCAGUAGUCCAAAACUAAUUUGAAAAACAAAACUGAUUUGAGCAUUAAGGCCUGCAGUGUGUACAAGUCUUAAGAGCUUUUCACACCUUGAUUGUACAAUAUUUGCCAAUUAUUCUUGAAAAAAUGAUUCAAGGUCUAUCGAGUUGGUUGUUGAUCAUUGCUAGACAGCCAUUUUCAAGUCGAGCCAAUGUUGUCUUGGUAAGCAACUCCAGUGUAUAGUUGGCCUUGUGUUUUAGGUUAUUGUCCUGCUGAAAGAUGAAUUUGUCUCCCAGUGUCUGUUGGAAAGCAGACUGAAAUAAGUUUCCCUCCAGGGUGUUGCCUGUGCUUAGCUCUAUUCAAUUUCUUUAUAUCCCUCAAAUAACUCCGUAGUCCUUGCUGAUGACAAGCAUACCCAUAACAUGAUGCUGCCAUCACCAUGCUUGUUGUGUUGGAUUUGCCCCAAACAUAACGCUUUGUAUUCAGGACAAAAAGUUCAUUUCUUAGCCACAUUUUUUGCAUUAUUACUUUUUGCCUUAUUGGAAACAGGAUGCAUGUUUUGGAAUAUUUUUCUUAUGCACAGGCUUCCUUCUUUUCACUGUAAUUUAUGUUAGAAGUAACUACAAUGUUGUUGAUCCAUCCUCUGUUAUCUCCUAUCACAGCCAUUAAACUCUGUAACUGUUUUAAAAUCACCAUUGGCCUCAUGGUGGGAUUUUGAGCGGUUUCCUUCCUCUCUGACAAAUGAGUUAGGAAGGGGGUCUGUAUCGUUGUAGUGACUGGAUGUAUUGAUACACCAUCCAAAGUGUAAUUAAUAACUUCAACAUACUCAAAGGGAUAUUCAAUGUCUCCUUUUUUUUACCCAUCCACCAACACGUGCCCUUCUUUGCGAACCAUUGGAAAAUCUCCCUGGUGUUUGUGGAUGAAUCUGUGCUUGAAGUUCACUGCUCGACUGAGGGACCUUACAUAUAAUUGUGUGUGGGGGGUACAGAGAUGGGGUAGUCAUUUUAAAAAAUCAUGUUAAACACUAUUAUUGCACAGUGUGAGUCUAUGUAACUUAUAUAUAUAUUUUUGUCACUUAGCAGACACUCGUAUCCAGAGCAACUAGGGUUAAGUGCCUUGCUGCUCAAGGGCACAUUGGCAGACUUUUCACCUAGUCAGCCCGGCGAUUCAAAACAGCGACCUUAUAGUUAGUGACCCCAAGCUCUGAACCGCUAGGCUAACUGCCACCCCGCAAGUAUGAUGUGACUUUUUAAGCACAUUUUCUCUCCUGAACUUAUUUAGGCGUGCCAUAACAAAAGGCUUGAAUACUUAUUGACUCAAGACACUGCAGCUUUUCAAAAAAAAAGUCAAGGGUGUGAAUACUUUCU
Molecule: long non-coding RNA, 3304 nt
Organism: Oncorhynchus kisutch (coho salmon)
Lineage: Eukaryota; Metazoa; Chordata; Actinopteri; Salmoniformes; Salmonidae
Source: Ensembl